Molecule: transfer RNA, 73 nt
Filed under: Methylobacterium sp. P1-11
Lineage: Bacteria; Pseudomonadati; Pseudomonadota; Alphaproteobacteria; Hyphomicrobiales; Methylobacteriaceae
Description: tRNA-Arg
Rfam family: tRNA
About the family: Transfer RNA (tRNA) molecules are approximately 80 nucleotides in length. Their secondary structure includes four short double-helical elements and three loops (D, anti-codon, and T loops).
Source: RNAcentral
GUGAUCUUAGCUUAGGUGUAGCGUUGCCCUCCGAAGGCAAAGGUCACACGUUCGAAUCGUGUCGGGUGCGCCA